Long non-coding RNA from Ipomoea nil (Japanese morning glory), 113 nucleotides. RefSeq lists it as uncharacterized. The record is from RefSeq and is a predicted model, not a curated record. Lineage: Eukaryota; Viridiplantae; Streptophyta; Magnoliopsida; Solanales; Convolvulaceae. The transcript has 3 exons.
CCUCAUGAGUCAUGAUUCUGCAUGUGUGAGCAACCUUUCAAAGUAAGGGGAUUCCUUGUGCGCAGUAAGCAAAGGUUUAGCCUCUGUGGUUCAUGUUCAGUUGAGUUACCAUG